CCCUUAGAUGUUCUGGGCCGCACGCGCGCUACACUGACGAUGGCAACGAGUUUUUCCUUCGCCGAAAGGUGUGGGUAAUCUUUUGAAACAUCGUCGUGCUGGGGAUAGAUCAUUGCAAUUUUUGAUCUUGAACGAGGAAUUCCUAGUAAGCGCGAGUCAUCAGCUCGCGUUGAUUACGUCCCUGCCCUUUGUACACACCGCCCGUCGCUACUACCGAUUGAAUGGUUUAGUGAGGACUCCUGAUUGGCGCCGCCGCCCCGGCAACGGAGCAGCGGACUGCCGAAAAGUCGUUCAAACUUGAUCAUUUAGAGGAAGUAAAAGUCGUAACA
RNAcentral lists this ribosomal RNA (329 nucleotides) under uncultured eukaryote. Its description in RNAcentral is "partial 18S ribosomal RNA". It matches the Rfam family "Eukaryotic small subunit ribosomal RNA", at positions 1470 to 1796 of the family's 1831-position model. The record is from RNAcentral.